This 253-nucleotide ribosomal RNA is filed under the name uncultured bacterium. RNAcentral describes it as "partial 16S ribosomal RNA". It matches the Rfam family "Bacterial small subunit ribosomal RNA", at positions 524 to 776 of the family's 1533-position model. The record is from RNAcentral.
UACAGAGGUCUCAAGCGUUGUUCGGAUUCAUUGGGCGUAAAGGGUGCGUAGGUGGCGCUGUAAGUCGGGUGUGAAAUUUCGGAGCUUAACUCCGAAACUGCAUUCGAUACUGCGGUGCUUGAGGACUGGAGAGGAGACUGGAAUUCAUGGUGUAGCAGUGAAAUGCGUAGAGAUCAUGAGGAACACCGGUGGCGAAGGCGGGUCUCUGGGCCGAUACUGACGCUGAGGAGCGAAAGCGUGGGGAGCGAACAGG